UUGGAGGGCAAGUCUGGUGCCAGCAGCCGCGGUAAUUCCAGCUCCAAUAGCGUAUAUUAAAGUUGUUGCAGUUAAAAAGCUCGUAGUUGAAUUUCGGGGUUAGUAGGUUGGUCAUGCCUCUGGUAUGUACUGGUCUCACUGAUUCCUCCUUCCUGAUGAGCCGUAAUGCCAUUAAUUUGGUGUUGCGGGGAAUUUGGACUGUUACUUUGAAAAAAUUAGAGUGUUUAAAGCAAGCUAACGCUCGAAUACAUUAGCAUGGAAUAAUGAAAUAGGACGUUCGAUCCUAUUUUGUUGGUUUCUAGGAUUGACGUAAUGAUUAAUAGGGAUAGUUGGGGGCAUUAGUAUUCAAUUGUCAGAGGUGAAAUUCUUGGAUUUAUUGAAGACUAACUACUGCGAAAGCAUUUGCCAAGGAUGUUUUCAUUAAUCAAGAACGAAAGUUAGGGGAUCGAAGACGAUCAGAUACCGUCGUAGUCUUAACCAUAAACUAUGCCGACUAGGGAUCGGAUGAUGUUAAUUCUUUUUAAUGACUCAUUCGGCGCCUUACGGGAAAC
RNAcentral lists this ribosomal RNA (551 nucleotides) under uncultured Rhizophagus. RNAcentral's name for it is "SSU rRNA". It matches the Rfam family "Eukaryotic small subunit ribosomal RNA", at positions 548 to 1098 of the family's 1831-position model. Lineage: Eukaryota; Fungi; Glomeromycota; Glomeromycetes; Glomerales; Glomeraceae. The record is from RNAcentral.